UACGGGGGGGGCAAGCGUUGUUCGGAAUUACUGGGCGUAAAGGGCUCGUAGGUGGCCAACUAAGUCAGACGUGAAAUCCCUCGGCUUAACCGGGGAACUGCGUCUGAUACUGGAUGGCUUGAGUUCGGGAGAGGGAUGCGGAAUUCCAGGUGUAGCGGUGAAAUGCGUAGAUAUCUGGAGGAACACCGGUGGCGAAGGCGGCAUCCUGGAACGACACUGACACUGAGGAGCGAAAGCCAGGGGAGCAAACGGG
This 253-nucleotide ribosomal RNA is filed under the name uncultured bacterium. Its description in RNAcentral is "partial 16S ribosomal RNA". It matches the Rfam family "Bacterial small subunit ribosomal RNA", at positions 524 to 776 of the family's 1533-position model. The record is from RNAcentral.